Molecule: long non-coding RNA, 1498 nt
Organism: Corapipo altera (White-ruffed manakin)
Lineage: Eukaryota; Metazoa; Chordata; Aves; Passeriformes; Pipridae
Exons: 3
Source: RefSeq, a predicted model, not a curated record
UAACAAGCUCUUCUUCAGUGAUAUCUGUCUUAUUUCAAAGCUUUUCAGAAACCCAAGAAACCCAGAGGACCAUUCCAAUCUCUGAGUACAUUUUCCUCAUAUAUGAAAGCCUGAAAUAUGAGGGAUUAAAAUAUGAGUGUUUGGGGGUUUUUAAAACACAUUUGGAACUUGUGGAAUGCAUACUAUUCAACAGUUUUAUGAGGAUGGGAUGGAGAAAACAACAAGUGAUUACCCAGCUAACAUCAUAUACAUGGUUCUAAGGAAAGGUUUAAGGUGGUCUCACUGAUCUAUCACCAUGUGUAAAAUGAGUACAUACUUAAACCAUUGGGUGCCAGAGAGGAGUUGGAUGAGCAGUGCUCCUGGGGACACCCUGUCACUAUCACCCUCCCACCUGGAUGAUAAACUGUGUGAGAAUUAUCAGCAAUCACACUCAGUUUAAUUCCUUUUGCCAGGCUCAAUUUCAUUCAGAGCUUGCCACACAUUUUCAUGUUUCCUACUAUGGGCCUUAAAUCUAAGGAACGUUUUCUUAUCUAAUUCUGUAGGACCUGUCUUUUGCUAACACAUGGGAGUGCAGAUAUGUUUUAUAGAUGUUUCCUAGGAUGGAAACCAGGAAAAUGAAGAAAACUGCUCUUCCUCAGCAGGUAUACUGAGACCUUUGUUGAGACCUCUGAGCCUUGACUGGCAGAUGACCCCAUCCUUAGCAGCAUCGCAUUGAAUUGUCAUGGGACGGCAAAGUUACAGAGCCAUAGCACUGAGUAUUUCCCCUCAAUGGAUCCUGCUGAAGAGGAGGAGUGAGAGAGCAGCUUGGUGGGCCACUGGCAGCCAGCUAAGGUCAACCACCACUGGUGAACCCUUUUCUAGAAUCAGAGGUACCUGCAAGCAGAGAGAGACAUUUCAUUCUCUUCCACAGCCUUGUCUUCAACAACUGGGAGAGGAGAUUUUGUUGGUUUUGUUGUUGCUCUUGUCAUUGUUUCUGAUAAAACUGAUGCAUGAUUUACGUGGUGACAUAUUCUUGAAGGGAAAAUUCCUCAGGAGCAUUCUCUAUAAAUUAAGUUGUCAAACUUUAUAAAACCAUCUGACAUAUGUAUUCAGACAAACACCACUCCACCUGAAACCCAUUUACUGUGUCCAAAUUACAAUUUAGAUUGUUGAUAUUUUCCAGUAAUUUUGUUUCCGUACAAUUUUUGCACUUCAUGUGAGCCAAGGAAACAAACACUUAAUAUGCGAAGUCAAUAAUUAAUUGUUCCACUAAUUAAAGAUUGCAGUCUAAUCAAUGGAUAAGGUUAACCUAGCUGCUACACUAUUACCACAUAGCGGAAAUGAUGGCAACCUGUUGUAUUAUCCAUCAAUGCAGAGAUAGAUACCAGCAGGAUUUACGCUACACAACUUUGCACAGCUGAGCAAAAGCUAAACCAAAUUAGGCAAUAGUCAACUGAUCAUUCAUCAAUUUCUGUUUCAACCAAACAGACUGAAAGAAAGCACCAGAGAGGUGACAAAU